GAUUAACGCUGGCGGCGUGCCUAACACAUGCAAGUCGAGCGGCAGCGAGUUUUACACUGAAUUCUGGAAACUUCUGGUAUAAAUAGAAGAGUUAUUCAAGAAUUUUGUGUAAAAUGUCGGCGAGCGGCGGACGGCUGAGUAACGCGUGGGAAUGUACCCCAAAGUGAGGGAUAACGCACCGAAAGGUGUGCUAAUACCGCAUAUGAUCUUCGGAUUAAAGCCUUCGGGCGCUUUGGGAACAGCCUGCGUCAGAUUAGAUAGUUGGUGAGGUAAUGGCUCACCAAGUCGACGAUCUGUAACUGGUUUGAGAGGAUGAUCAGUCAGACUGGAACUGAGACACGGUCCAGACUCCUACGGGAGGCAGCAGUGAGGAAUCUUCCACAAUGGGCGAAAGCCUGAUGGAGCAACGCCGCGUGCAGGAUGAAGGCCUUCGGGUUGUAAACUGCUUUUAUAAGUGAGGAUUAUGACAGUAACUUAUGAAUAAGGAUCGGCUAACUACGUGCCAGCAGCCGCGGUCAUACGUAGGAUCCGAGCGUUAUCCGGAGUGACUGGGCGUAAGAGUUGCGUAGGUGGUUUAAUAAGCGAAUAGUGAAAUCUGGUGGCUCAACCAUUCAGACUAUUAUUCGAACUGUUGAACUCGAGAGCAGAAGAGGUAGCUGGAAUUUCUAGUGUAGGAGUGAAAUCCGUAGAUAUUAGAAGGAACACCGAUGGCGUAGGCAGGCUACUGGGCUGUUUCUGACACUGAGGCACGAAAGCGUGGGGAGCGAACCGGAUUAGAUACCCGGGUAGUCCACGCCGUAAACGAUGGAUACUAGCUGUUUGGGGUAUCGACCCCCUGAGUAGCGAAGCUAACGCGUUAAGUAUCCCGCCUGUGGAGUACGAUCGCAAGAUUAAAACAUAAAGGAAUUGACGGGGACCCGCACAAGCGGUGGAUCAUGUUCUUUAAUUCGAUGAUAACCGAUAAACCUUACCAGGUCUUGACAUCCUUGGAAUCUUUCAGAAAUGAGAGAGUGCUUUUUAAGAACCAAGUGACAGGUGAUGCAUGGCCGUCGUCAGCUCGUGUCGUGAGAUGUUUGGUUAAGUCCAUCAACGAGCGCAACCCUUGUGAAUAGUUGUAUUUUUCUAUUCAGACUGCCCCGGCAACGGGGAGGAAGGAGGGGAUGACGUCAGGUCAGUAUUUCCCUUACGUCCUGGGCUAGAAACGUGAUACAAUGGCUAGUACAAUGCGCAGCGAAGCCGCGAGGUGAAGCAAAUCGCAUCAAAGCUAGUCCCAGUUCGGAUUGUAGGCUGAAACUCGCCUGCAUGAAGUCGGAAUCGCUAGUAAUCGCAGAUCAGCAUGCUGCGGUGAAUACGUUCCCGGGUCU
RNAcentral lists this ribosomal RNA (1364 nucleotides) under uncultured bacterium. RNAcentral describes it as "bacterial SSU rRNA". It matches the Rfam family "Bacterial small subunit ribosomal RNA", at positions 28 to 1381 of the family's 1533-position model. The record is from RNAcentral.